RNAcentral lists this ribosomal RNA (315 nucleotides) under Triticum aestivum (bread wheat). Its description in RNAcentral is "partial small subunit ribosomal RNA". Lineage: Eukaryota; Viridiplantae; Streptophyta; Magnoliopsida; Poales; Poaceae. The record is from RNAcentral.
AUGACACUGCAUUUUUUUUACAUUCAGAAAUUAGCUGCUCCGACUACAGACCGAGUGUUCAACAUGCAGCUGCUUACAUACACUGAGAAUACACAUAUACUACUGCAUAGCUCACAACCAUGCAUGAGUGUUGUCACCACCCGGAUCAGUAGCAGCAAUCAACAGUCCUCAUUGGCAAUAAAUAAAACAAAACAAAACAAAAAAAUCCUGCAUAGUCCACCCAUUGUCGCAUGCACACUUGUCAUAUUUUUUUCUGAACCAAACCAGCAAUUAAUGAUGAAACUCCUCAUACAGAUCUAUCCCUACAAAUACUAA